AGAGUUUGAUCCUGGCUCAGGAUAAACGCUGGCGGCGCACAUAAGACAUGCAAGUCGAACGGAAGUCGUUAUAAAAAGGAUUGAAGAUUUAUCUGAUUGAGAUUUUAUAACAAUGGCUUUAGUGGCGGACUGGUGAGUAACGCGUGAGCAACCUGCCUACUAGAGGGGAAUAACAGUGAGAAAUCAUUGCUAAUACCGCAUAUGCCAUGAACAUCACAUGAUGAAAAUGGGAAAAGAGUAAUCUGCUAGUAGAUGGGCUCGCGUCUGAUUAGAUAGUUGGUGGGGUAACGGCCUACCAAGUCGACGAUCAGUAGCCGGACUGAGAGGUUGAACGGCCACAUUGGGACUGAGAUACGGCCCAGACUCCUACGGGAGGCAGCAGUCGGGAAUAUUGCGCAAUGGAGGAAACUCUGACGCAGUGACGCCGCGUAUAGGAAGAAGGUUUUCGGAUUGUAAACUAUUGUCGUUAGGGAAGAUACAGACAGUACCUAAGGAGGAAGCUCCGGCUAACUACGUGCCAGCAGCCGCGGUAAUACGUAGGGAGCAGCGUUUUCCGG
Molecule: ribosomal RNA, 557 nt
Filed under: uncultured bacterium
Lineage: Bacteria
Description: bacterial SSU rRNA
Rfam family: Bacterial small subunit ribosomal RNA
Source: RNAcentral